This is a long non-coding RNA of Venturia canescens, 261 nucleotides long. RefSeq lists it as uncharacterized. The record is from RefSeq and is a predicted model, not a curated record. The transcript is spliced from 2 exons. NCBI's taxonomy places the organism in Eukaryota, Metazoa, Arthropoda, Insecta, Hymenoptera, Ichneumonidae.
UUGAAACUUCCGACGACGUUCAUGUACGAAUUUUUCGGUGUCUCAGCCACAAUCAGAGAAGACGAGACUGCAAGAAACAAUUGUGCAUCGUUAGUUUCCACUCCUUAAUAACGUUUGACUGAGGACACCCAACUUUAUUUUUUUCACCAUUUUAGAUGAUUUAUCGAAAGUCAUUCGAAUCUGAAUAAUUGAAUGCAGGAAGAAAGAAUUGUAAUUUAAACAAAGAAUUGUAAGAAUAAUUCAUUGAUUUUUAUGUACUCA